Rattus norvegicus (Norway rat) is the source of this 2098-nucleotide long non-coding RNA. RefSeq lists it as uncharacterized. NCBI's taxonomy places the organism in Eukaryota, Metazoa, Chordata, Mammalia, Rodentia, Muridae. The record is from RefSeq and is a predicted model, not a curated record.
UUUCCAUGACACCCUUCCUCCCCACCCAGCCUUCCAACUUGUUGUUGCUAAGAAGUUGUUUAUGCCCCCGAUUGAGCCCGAACUUUCCACCACACAGACUUUUCCUGUUUUCCUGGUUGGGGAUUUUCACCUGCCUUGUUGUUUUCCACGGCUUUUGCCUUGGGUAAAGCCUUGGUUUCACUCUCUGAAAACUGGUGACCCGUAUACGUGUUUUCUUUCAAUCCCGCAGAUCUAUGCCUGAUAUGCACACACUGGUGGCAGGCGCCGUCAUUUGGAGGUUCCACCAAGAUCGGGAAAGAGGGGACAACCUGACGGGAUCAUUCCAAAAGGCCGGCCGGCAAAGAAGUGGAAUGUAUUGGGGACAAGGGGUGACCACAGGGCAAAGCUAAAAGAUGCUGAGGCCCCUGUUUGGGUCCCUGAGUAUUGUGUGCGUCCUGUGGAUGACAGUCCACCUGGAGAUAUACUAAAGCUUCGUGAAGAAUUCCCUGAUCCUGAUGCCAGGGGGAACACAUAACACGGCACAGCCUGCUGUUAUUACAACAAACCACGCAACAGGUAAAAUGGCAGCUCACACAAAGGUAAAACGAAUGAUUCUUAACCUUACUUUUCAUCUUAAAAGAUAGUCUAUGUUUUGUUAAGAUUUUUAUAAAGCCUCGUUAAAUAGCUCCUUUUGUCAUUCAUGUUUACUUUUAGUAAUGUUUCCAUAGCUGAUUUUAAUAUUUCUGUUACCAAUGCUAGUGUUAAUAGGAUUGAGAGAUAUUUUGUACCCCAUUAGCCUUAUUAGAAAUGAUAGUUAUCUGCCUUCUAGACCAGCACAUAGGUGCUGGCUUGAACCUCUAAGUACUGCCCCUUGCCAUUUUUGAUACCUCCCUACAUUUUUGCCCAAUUAAGAGAAAAAAAUCUGUGCCACGCGUGUUGGCAGCCCUUUUUCUUUUUGGUUCGGAAUAGGACUAAGGCAGUGUCAAGGGAGGAGAUUCUCAAUUGUUCUUCCAGGUCCUAUCCUACUGACCAGUUGCUGGGAACAGGAAGAUUCUGCAUGGAUUGUUUGAGUUCCUGGUGUGAUCUCCAUACCUCUGGAUGAAGGCUGAUUCCCAGUGGAACUCUACAGGCAUAAAAGAGACUUCUGGCAUUACUGUGACAGUCAUUGCUGCCAUCGCCAUUUCAGCCACCACUGCUGCCAUCGCCAUUUCAGCCACCACUGCUGCAGUGGUUGGUGUGGCCAUAUCUCAAUUGACAGCUAUCGUUGGGACUGCGGAUACGCCCUGGAAAAGUCACCACGACAUUGACUGUACAGAAUAGCGUUAAAAUUCAGAUUCAGUUGGUCAUUUUUAAUCUCAACCAACAAACUGCUCUCUAUUGGACUUCCUCUGGAAAACCCAUGUUAUGUCUUGUUCUACCUUUAUCAUUCGAUGUGUGUAACCCCUGUUAAGGUCCUUAAUAGCAGCAAGGCUGUUGGGGAUUUGAAUGCUUAUCUUGAUUGCUCGCUCUUAGCAGCUGCCCCUGGGCUAUUUUAAAGUACCAACAGAUCCAGUCUCAGGCUGAAACCAAACAGGUUUGGUUUUCAUUGACUGGGAAUAAUCCAUCAGCCCAAAUUAGGCUCAGUUUAUAUGACAAGUGGUUAGCCAAAGACGGGCAACCUUCUGGGACCAUACUCACCUAAGACAGAAACCCUGAGGCUGGCAGGGUUUUCAGAAAUGGGAAAGAGAGUUUUGGAACUCCAGAUUGAUCCUAAGAUAGGCGCUACUUUAAAAAAAAUAAAAGAGGGGGAAUUGUCAGGCCCUACCUUGGGGUGUUUCCCUUCCCCCUCGCUGAGCCUUUUAGCCUGCUAUAGUAAGAAGUUGUUUACACCCUUGGCAGCUGCUCUUAGCCCCUGAUUUGGGACCAGGACUUUCCAUGACACCCUUCCUCCCCACCUAGCCUUCCAGCUUGUUGUUGCUAAGAAGUUGUUUAUGCCCCUGAUUGGGCCCGGAACUUUCCACCACACAGACUUUUCCUGUUUUCCUGGUUGGGGAUUUUCACCUGCCUUGUUGUUUUCCACGGCUUUUGCCUCGGGUAUAUAAGGAAAUCUCAAUAAAGCCUUGGUGGCACUCUCUGAAAA